AGUGAACGCUGGCGGUAGGCCUAACACAUGCAAGUCGAACGGCAGCACAGUAAGAGCUUGCUCUUACGGGUGGCGAGUGGCGGACGGGUGAGGAAUACAUCGGAAUCUACUUUUUCGUGGGGGAUAACGUAGGGAAACUUACGCUAAUACCGCAUACGACCUACGGGUGAAAGCAGGGGAUCUUCGGACCUUUCGCGAUUGAAUGAGCCGAUGUCGGAUUAGCUAGUUGGCGGGGUAAAGGCCCACCAAGGCGACGAUCCGUAGCUGGUCUGAGAGGAUGAUCAGCCACGCUGGAACUGAGACACGGUCCAGACUCCUACGGGAGGCAGCAGUGGGGAAUAUUGGACAAUGGGCGCAAGCCUGAUCCAGCCAUACCGCGUGGGUGAAGAAGGCCUUCGGGUUGUAAAGCCCUUUUGUUGGGAAAGAAAAGCAGCAGGUUAAUACCCCGCUGUUCUGACGGUACCCAAAGAAUAAGCACCGGCUAACUUCGUG
This 492-nucleotide ribosomal RNA is filed under the name uncultured bacterium. RNAcentral's name for it is "partial 16S ribosomal RNA". It matches the Rfam family "Bacterial small subunit ribosomal RNA", at positions 29 to 507 of the family's 1533-position model. The record is from RNAcentral.